Molecule: ribosomal RNA, 360 nt
Filed under: uncultured Actinomycetes bacterium
Lineage: Bacteria; Bacillati; Actinomycetota; Actinomycetes
Description: bacterial LSU rRNA
Rfam family: Bacterial large subunit ribosomal RNA
Source: RNAcentral
CCGAGAGGCGUAGGCGAUGGAUAACCGGUUGAUAUUCCGGUACCCGCUGUGAAGCGUCAAACAUCGAACCAGGCGAUGCUAAGUCCGUGAAGCCGCCCUUGAUCUCUUCGGAGUGAGGGGGAGUGGUGGAGCCGACGGACCAGACCUGUAGUAGGUGAGUGAUGGGGUGACGCAGGAAGGUAGUCCAUCCCGGGCGGUGGUUGUCCCGGGGUAAGGGUGUAGGCCGCAAGGUAGGUAAAUCCGCCUUGCAUACGGCUGAGACCUGAUGCCGAGCCGAUUGUGGUGAAGUGGAUGAUCCUAUGCUGUCGAGAAAAGCCCCUAGCGAGUUUCAUGGCGGCCCGUACCCCAAACCAACACUGG